This 651-nucleotide ribosomal RNA is filed under the name uncultured bacterium Oim32. RNAcentral's name for it is "partial 16S ribosomal RNA". The record is from RNAcentral.
CCUGCGUGCGCUUUACGCCCAGUAAUUCCGAUUAACGCUCGCACCCUCCGUAUUACCGCGGCUGCUGGCACGGAGUUAGCCGGUGCUUCUUCUGUCGCUAACGUCAAAGAAAUACCGCUAUUAACGAUACCCCCUUCCUCACGACUGAAAGUACUUUACAACCCGAAGGCCUUCUUCAUACACGCGGCAUGGCUGCAUCAGGCUUGCGCCCAUUGUGCAAUAUUCCCCACUGCUGCCUCCCGUANGAKUCUGGACCGUGUCUCAGUUCCAGUGUGGCUGAUCAUCCUCUCAGACCAGCUAGGGAUCGUCGCCUUGGUGAGCCCGUAGGAGUCUGGGCCGUGUCUCAGUUCCAAUGUGGCCGAUCACCUCUCAGGUCGGCUACUGAUCGUCGCCUUGGUAAGCCGUUAMCUUACCAACUAGCUAAUCAGACGCGGGUCCAUCCUAUACCGCAAAAGCUUUGAUAAGAAAUCCAUGCGAAUUUCUUAUGUUAUCUCGUAUUAGCAUACCUUUCGGUAUGUUAUCCGUGUGUAUAGGGCAGGUUACCCACGCGUUACUCACCCGUCCGCCGCUCUUUACCGAAGUAAAUCGCUCGACUUGCAUGUGUUAGGCACGCCGCCAGCGUUCAUCCUGAGCCAGGAUCAAACUCUCCAA